UCGGGAAUCUUGCACAAUGGGCGAAAGCCUGAUGCAGCAACACCGUGUGAGCGAGGAAGGCCUUCGGGUCGUAAAGCUCUGUUGUUGGGGACGAAGGGCGAAGGGUUAAUAGCCCCUAGCCUGACGGUACCCUUCGAGGAAGCCCCGGCUAACUACGUGCCAGCAGCCGCGGUAAUACGAAAGGGGCUAGCGUUGUUCGGAAUUACUGGGCGUAAAGCGCGCGUAGGCGGCAUGCCAAGUUGGGGGUGAAAUCCCUGGGCUCAACCCAGGAACUGCCUCCAAAACUGGCAAGCUAGAGGAUGUGAGAGGAUAGUGGAAUUCCGAGUGUAGAGGUGAAAUUCGUAGAUAUUCGGAAGAACACCAGUGGCGAAGGCGACUGUCUGGCACAUUUCUGACGCUGAGGUGCGAAAGCGUGGGGAGCAAACAGGAUUAGAUACCCCCGUAGUCC
This 448-nucleotide ribosomal RNA is filed under the name uncultured prokaryote. Its description in RNAcentral is "bacterial SSU rRNA". It matches the Rfam family "Bacterial small subunit ribosomal RNA", at positions 355 to 796 of the family's 1533-position model. The record is from RNAcentral.